AGAAGACGUGAACAUGGAAGGAUAACAGUCACGUGACAGAGAAUAAAGGUGUGAGCAGAGGGAUGACAAGACACAGGUGAAACCGAUGAAGCAAUCAAGGGUAAAACACAGGAAGAAACCAGACAAGAAACCAAGGAACUUAACAAAAUAAGAUGUAAGAAAGUCGUGGUGAAAUGACAGAAUCAUGACAAUGGCACACCAAGUCAACUGUGAGCCCCUUCAAUGAGCAUCCGGGACCCUAGUAUCUGUGCACACGGACUUCAGAUUGGACUGUUUGGAUUUCCUGCUCAUCACUGCCAAACCUUUUUGUUAUCUUUAAGGGAGCGACGCCCGCAUCGUGCACCUGGCCAGCCGAGGAGGUUUAGGAGAUCAAGUUCGCCAAUGACACACGUGGUCAUGUCUGGCCAGUCGACUCCCACGAAUACAGCAAAAAGCAGACAUGCACAGGGUUCUGUCAGAAGGAGGAAAGGAGGUGUCGUCCAUUCUCUGCUUUAGAUUUUUACAUCUGACUGGAGUGCAACCACCACCAAGCCACUGAUUAAAGGGUCGUACUGUGGAGGCAGAUUUUAAAG
Molecule: long non-coding RNA, 572 nt
Organism: Mugil cephalus (flathead mullet)
Lineage: Eukaryota; Metazoa; Chordata; Actinopteri; Mugiliformes; Mugilidae
Exons: 4
Source: RefSeq, a predicted model, not a curated record